GAGCUGGUGCGCCGCCUGGACUUCAACCUCGCGGA
This 35-nucleotide transfer RNA is filed under the name Rhodomonas lens. RNAcentral describes it as "partial Selenocysteine transfer RNA". Lineage: Eukaryota; Cryptophyceae; Pyrenomonadales; Pyrenomonadaceae. The record is from RNAcentral.